RNAcentral lists this ribosomal RNA (428 nucleotides) under uncultured bacterium. RNAcentral's name for it is "bacterial SSU rRNA". It matches the Rfam family "Bacterial small subunit ribosomal RNA", at positions 917 to 1344 of the family's 1533-position model. The record is from RNAcentral.
GGGCCCGCACAAGCGGUGGAGCAUGUGGUUUAAUUCGAUGCAACGCGAAGAACCUUACCUACUCUUGACAUCCAGAGAACUUUUCAGAGAUGAAUUGGUGCCUUCGGGAACUCUGAGACAGGUGCUGCAUGGCUGUCGUCAGCUCGUGUUGUGAAAUGUUGGGUUAAGUCCCGCAACGAGCGCAACCCUUAUCCUUGUUUGCCAGCGAGUAAUGUCGGGAACUCCAGGGAGACUGCCGGUGAUAAACCGGAGGAAGGUGGGGACGACGUCAAGUCAUCAUGGCCCUUACGAGUAGGGCUACACACGUGCUACAAUGGCGCAUACAGAGGGCGGCCAACUUGCGAGAGUGAGCGAAUCCCAAAAAGUGCGUCGUAGUCCGGAUUGGAGUCUGCAACUCGACUCCAUGAAGUCGGAAUCGCUAGUAAUCG